ACUCUCACAACUCACACAAAGCUAGGAAAUUCAAUUAAGGUAUCAUAGAAGAAGGUGAUCGUUCAAGUUAUUUUGGAAAGCUCUGAGUUAGUGCAGGAUUCUAAGGCCUCAAGUUGAAGUUCAUUGAGAAAAGGAAAACGUGAUUGUGAGAGACAUUAAUUAUAAUACAAGGACCGUUAGUGUUGAUUAGUGAUCUAGUUUAUUUUUGGAGUCCGAAGAGAAAGAUCUCUUUGAUAUGUAUUGAUGACGUUAUUGGAGUACUCUCUAGGUGACAUGUAUCUUUAGUGUUUGACCAGCUUAUGAUCAUUUGUGGGUUAGAGUCUUUUGUAGGAAUUUAUCUUUUAUUAUUUCAUAUUGAAAAAUUGUAAGAUAAUUAUGUGAAAUGAAAAUGUUUUAUAUUUGAAAA
Trifolium pratense (red clover) is the source of this 406-nucleotide long non-coding RNA. RefSeq lists it as uncharacterized. The transcript is spliced from 2 exons. NCBI's taxonomy places the organism in Eukaryota, Viridiplantae, Streptophyta, Magnoliopsida, Fabales, Fabaceae. The record is from RefSeq and is a predicted model, not a curated record.